UUUCCGUAGGUGAACCUGCGGAAGGAUCAUUAUUGUAUAACCGAGGUGCGAGGGCCGUCGCUGACCCGAAAGGUCGUGCACGCCCGAGUGCCCUCACACACAUCCAUCUCACCCCUAUGUGCACCACCGCGUGGGUCCCCCUUUGGCUUGUUCGGAGGGGGGCUUACGUUUUCACACAAACUUUGUAUGCAGUGUAGAAUGUAUUUUUUGUUUUUGCGAUCACGCAAUCAAUACAACUUUCAACAAUGGAUCUCUUGGCUCUU
Molecule: unclassified non-coding RNA, 263 nt
Filed under: plant metagenome
Description: partial contains small subunit ribosomal RNA, internal transcribed spacer 1, and 5.8S ribosomal RNA
Source: RNAcentral